ACGGGAGGCAGCAGUGAGGAAUAUUGGUCAAUGGACGGAAGUCUGAACCAGCCAUGCCGCGUGAAGGAAGAAUGCCCUAUGGGUUGUAAACUUCUUUUGCCGCAGAGUAAUAAGUGGGAUGCGUCCCAUGAUGAGAGUAUGCGGCGAAUAAGCAUCGGCUAACUCCGUGCCAGCAGCCGCGGUAAUACGGAGGAUGCAAGCGUUAUCCGGAUUUAUUGGGUUUAAAGGGUGCGUAGGCGGGCUGUUAAGUCAGCGGUGAAACCCCCGGGCUCAACCCGGGGACUGCCAUUGAAACUGGCGGCCUUGAGUACGUUGGGAGUGCGCGGAAUGUGUGGUGUAGCGGUGAAAUGCAUAGAUAUCACACAGAACACCGAUCGCGUAGGCAGCGCACUACGCCGCAACUGACGCUGAGGCACGAAGGCGCGGGGAUCGAACAGGAUUAGAUACCCUGGUA
This 454-nucleotide ribosomal RNA is filed under the name uncultured Barnesiella sp. RNAcentral's name for it is "partial 16S ribosomal RNA". It matches the Rfam family "Bacterial small subunit ribosomal RNA", at positions 341 to 792 of the family's 1533-position model. The record is from RNAcentral. Lineage: Bacteria; Pseudomonadati; Bacteroidota; Bacteroidia; Bacteroidales; Barnesiellaceae.